UACAGAGGGUGCGAGCGUUGUCCGGAAUCAGCUGGGCGUAAAGGGCGCGUAGGCGGCUUGGUAAGUAGGGGGUGAAACUCUUGCGGCUCAACUGCAAGGCUGCCUUCUAAACUGUCGGGGCUAGAGCACGGUAGAGGCAGAUGGAAUUCCCGGUGUAGCGGUGGAAUGCCGUAGAGAAUCGGGAAGAACAUCAGUGGGCGAA
Molecule: ribosomal RNA, 202 nt
Filed under: uncultured bacterium
Lineage: Bacteria
Description: partial 16S ribosomal RNA
Rfam family: Bacterial small subunit ribosomal RNA
Source: RNAcentral